This is a non-coding RNA of Salmo salar (Atlantic salmon), 54 nucleotides long. The record is from Rfam. NCBI's taxonomy places the organism in Eukaryota, Metazoa, Chordata, Actinopteri, Salmoniformes, Salmonidae.
UUCCUAAUUGCUUCUAAGUCGCUCUGGAUAAGAGCGUCUGCUAAAUGACUCAAA